GAACCUCUGAAUUUAUUUCCUAGGUGACCUCGGAUCAGGUAGGGAUACCCGCUGAACUUAAGCAUAUCAAUA
Molecule: ribosomal RNA, 72 nt
Filed under: Pseudofusicoccum olivaceum
Lineage: Eukaryota; Fungi; Ascomycota; Dothideomycetes; Botryosphaeriales; Botryosphaeriaceae
Description: partial 28S ribosomal RNA
Source: RNAcentral